Molecule: unclassified non-coding RNA, 90 nt
Filed under: Pseudomonas sp. A214
Lineage: Bacteria; Pseudomonadati; Pseudomonadota; Gammaproteobacteria; Pseudomonadales; Pseudomonadaceae
Source: RNAcentral
UGUGGGAGCGAGCCUGCUCGCGAUAGCGGUGUAUCAGCCAAUAUCAAUGGUGGCUGAUCCGCCGCGAUCGCGAGCAGGCUCGCUCCCACA